GUCGACGUACUUCAUAGGAUCAUUUCUAUAGGUCACGUCCCUCUUUGACUCUUCAAAAGAGCCACUGAAUCCAACUUGGUUGAUGAGUGAGAUUACCCUUAUACCCUCAAAGUGAGAUAAUACAGAAAUUUUUUGCUUGACCGUGAUUCUUUGCAAUCUGGCCAUCUACUUAUAAUGUUUUGCCUUUAACUUUUUGCUAGCCUUUCUUUUUUGAAGGUAAUGCAAUAUUUMUAAAGGAGCGAUGAUCUUUACCCUUUUCAUUGUGCCUUCUAGGAGGAUUUUGAAUUGGGUGGGUAUAAGCGGCUGUCUGACAAGU
This 316-nucleotide small nucleolar RNA is filed under the name Candida albicans SC5314. Its description in RNAcentral is "Fungal small nucleolar RNA U3". It matches the Rfam family "Fungal small nucleolar RNA U3". From Rfam's summary of the family: Small nucleolar RNAs (snoRNAs) are involved in the processing and modification of rRNA in the nucleolus. There are two main classes of snoRNAs: the box C/D class, and the box H/ACA class. U3 snoRNA is a member of the box C/D class. The record is from Rfam by way of RNAcentral. Lineage: Eukaryota; Fungi; Ascomycota; Pichiomycetes; Serinales; Debaryomycetaceae.